GGGGAGGGGAGCAGAGACGGGGGCGGGUGACGUACAAAAAGCUCUUGGAUGAAGCUUCUAGAAGUCAUCAUUGGUUGUCAAGUGGCCUUCAGAAAUACGGCCACAGAGCCUGCGCUGCCGGGAGGGCCUCUGCUGACUGAGAAGCUGGCUUGCCUUGCCUGGGGUUGUGCCCGCGCGGCCCCCCUCCCCCAGCCCACCGCGGGCACCCCAACCCCAUGGUUGAGGCCCUCCGGAGGGGUCCCACGGGCCAGGUCCCAGGGCCACCGGUGGUCCUGGAUGUGCCUUCUUGUUCCCGUUGGCAAGGGGCCUGCAUCAGAGGGCGCCCAGGACCCCGACAGGGAAGUGGGGGCGGAGUGCUGGGGUGACUCGGCUGUUUCUCCCGAAGCUCAUCCCAGGCCGGCCACACUGUCCUCCCCAGGGGACAGGAGCUCCUCCCGCCAACUUCACACCCAAUCCCUCCCCCUCCCCCUCUCCAGCCUCAG
Mustela erminea (ermine) is the source of this 482-nucleotide long non-coding RNA. RefSeq lists it as uncharacterized. The record is from RefSeq and is a predicted model, not a curated record. The transcript is spliced from 3 exons. Lineage: Eukaryota; Metazoa; Chordata; Mammalia; Carnivora; Mustelidae.